GGAGUUAGCCGGUGCUUCUUCUGCGAGUAACGUCACAGAUGUAAGGUAUUAACUUACACCCUUUCCUCCUCGCUGAAAGUGCUUUACAACCCGAAGGCCUUCUUCACACACGCGGCAUGGCUGCAUCAGGGUUUCCCCCAUUGUGCAAUAUUCCCCACUGCUGCCUCCCGUAGGAGUCUGGGCCGUGUCUCAGUCCCAGUGUGGCUGAUCAUCCUCUCAGACCAGCUAGGGAUCGUCGCCUAGGUGAGCCUUUACCUCACCUACUAGCUAAUCCCACCUGGGCUUAUCCAUCAGCGCAAGGCCCGAAGGUCCCCUGCUUUCCCCCGUAGGGCGUAUGCGGUAUUAGCAGUCGUUUCCAACUGUUAUCCCCCACAAAUGGGCAAAUUCCCAGGCAUUACUCACCCGUCCGCCGCUCGUCAUCUUCAAAAGCAAGCUUUUGAAAUGUUACCGCUCGACUUGCAUGUGUUAGGCCUGCCGCCAGCGUUCAAUCUGUGCCAGAAUCAAACUCUGA
Molecule: ribosomal RNA, 511 nt
Filed under: uncultured bacterium
Lineage: Bacteria
Description: partial 16S ribosomal RNA
Source: RNAcentral